RNAcentral lists this long non-coding RNA (1482 nucleotides) under Aquilegia coerulea. RNAcentral describes it as "long non-coding RNA (ACOE_LNC000978)". The record is from RNAcentral. Lineage: Eukaryota; Viridiplantae; Streptophyta; Magnoliopsida; Ranunculales; Ranunculaceae.
AACAAUUCAUAGUUAGACCUCCAGUUGCAAGGGUUUAAUCAAAGUGAACUUGUCUCUCUCCUACAAAAUUUUCACCAAACUCUUGCAAGUAGAUUAAAUUUACCAAUUUGCAAACUGAAAUGAAGCCAAUAAACGAAUGAUGUACUGCAUCACUACCGAACUAAAGCCAAUAAACUGAACUGAAAAGAGUUUAAUUGUGAUAAAAGUCUGUUGCCUCGAGGACUUAAACCUAUUUAGUAUUGAGCCAUAACUUACAUCCAUAUAUCACAGAAAUCCUGUAAAUGACAUCCACAAGAGCCAAAAAGAAAAAGGAACACAAAGGGGCUUGACCCCUCCAACAAUUCAAUCAAGGGAGUGCCCUUCAGAUACUUCGCUUCCAUAGUCAACUUCAUCAAGAAUGCUUGGAUGCAUAUUGCUUCCUUAGACCUUAAUUCAUGCCACCUGCAACCUAAAAGAACACGUAUAAGCAAUCACAUAAUGUCUUCAGAAAAAAUAUAUAUCCCUCCAACUUAAAAGGUGAUCACUGAGAAUUUUGUAAAGAAGUAAUAGUCUUGUAUGUAAGCAUGAAGAAGAUCACAAGAAUUGAACCAAUGGACUCACUAGAUGAUACAUGAUAUGCAUAGACUGGGAACUAAUGGAGGAAUGGACCAUAGAAAUAAUAUUACAUAAGAAUUAUGUCAUUCAGAAUGCACAACCAGUUCCAUGGUUUUCAGCACAUAAGCUGUCAGAAUUUCUGUCAGAGUUCAGUCCAGUUUCAAUGAACUAAUAAUGUUCAUGAAGAAGAAUUUUAGCGCAUAAGCAACAUAUAUAAGCUAACGACUAAGAAAUUCAUUUCAGCAUCCAAAUGGAUGGUCAGGUAACAAAAACAGAACAGAAGUACAGGAUUAAGAAAUUGGAUGGUAAAAUGAUUGAAUGUCUCAGUUUUAUUGUAGUUUGUUCGAAUUGGAGAAAAAUCUCAGUUGAGAAAGGUCUACAUGUUCUUCUAAACAUAAUGCUGACGGGAUUAAGAAUUGGACGAACCAGGUAGUGGUGCUUAAUCCCGUCCCUCCCUGUUAUCUACUUAUCAAAUGGGAAAGAUGUUUGAAUCUUUGAAUGGCUUUCAACUAACAGUGAUAAACACACAUGAAAUUCAUCUAUGCAAUCCACUUUCAGAAAGACAACUUUGCUUCCAUCUCUUCAGAUACCGGAGGCAUAUGUAGAGAAGGAACAUCAUAGUAACCUUAACUUCAAAUUCAACCAAAACAAAAAAGGAGGUGGACUGCAUCUGAAACUUGUUUUUAGUCCAGUACUAGACAUCACAUACUACAAAGCAAGUUGUUUGCACUUCAUUUUACAACUAUUAAUUCAAGUGCUUGAUAUGCUCCUUAUAGUAAGAGCUUAUCUUAUCCAAACCACACAACCAGAUUCUAAAACAAGCUAACAACUUCCCACGCAUUCAAUACAGUUUUGCUUGUUACACGUUGUAAAGCCACCAGACUCUUU